Molecule: ribosomal RNA, 492 nt
Filed under: uncultured bacterium
Lineage: Bacteria
Description: partial 16S ribosomal RNA
Rfam family: Bacterial small subunit ribosomal RNA
Source: RNAcentral
AGUGAACGCUGGCGGUAUGCCUAACACAUGCAAGUCGAACGGCAGCACAGUAAGCUCUUGCUCUUGCGGUUGGCGAGUGGCGGACGAGUGAGGAAUACAUCGGAAUCUACUUUUUCGUGGGUGAUAACGUAGGGACAGUUACACUAAUACCUCAUACUAUCUACCGGUUAAAGCAGAGGAUCUUCGGACCUUUCGCGUUUGUAUUAGCCGAUGCCGCAUUAGAUAGUUGGCAUGGUAAAGGCUCACCAAGGCAACGAUCCGUUGCUGGGCUGAGAGGAUGAUCAGCCACACUGGAACUGAGACACGGUCCAGACUCCUACGGGAGGCAGCAGUGGGGAAUAUUCCGCAAAGGGCGAAAGCCUGACGGAGCAACGCCGCGUGAGUGAUGAAGGUCUUCGGAUCGUAAAGCUCUGUUGUUAGGAAAGAACAGAUGUAUAAGUAACUGUGGACAUCUUGACGGUACCUAAUCAAAAAGCCACGGCUAACUACGUG